UUUCCGUAGGUGAACCUGCGGAAGGAUCAUUAAAGAGUUGUCAUGGGGUUCGAUGCUGGCAGCCAAUUUUUGGAUGCAUGUGCUUGCCCUAACAAUCAUCUUCCAAACACCUGUGCACAUUUUUGAGGGAGUCUUGAGUUGGUUGCCGCUCUUGGGUGAUCUUCUCACAUUCCCUUAAAUCAUUAUACGCUAUUAACAAUGUUGAACGUGCUCUGUGCCGCAAGGCUAUUAAUAUAAUACAACUUUUAACAACGGAUCUCUUGGCUCUC
Molecule: unclassified non-coding RNA, 269 nt
Filed under: plant metagenome
Description: partial contains small subunit ribosomal RNA, internal transcribed spacer 1, and 5.8S ribosomal RNA
Source: RNAcentral